AGAGUUUGAUCCUGGCUCAGGACGAACGCUGGCGGUGCGCCUUAUGCAUGCAAGUUGAGCGAAGCUUUUUGGUAGUUUACUACUAGAAAUGACUGAGCGGCGAACGGGUGAGUAACGCGUGAGCAAUCUACCUUAGUUACUGGGAUAGCCCGAGGAAACUCGGAUUAAUACCGGAUAUUCUUAUUUUUUCACAUGAAGUUUUAAGGAAAGGUCAGCCGAACUAAGAUGAGCUCGCGUUCUAUCAGCUAGUUGGUGGGGUAAAAGCCUACCAAGGCUACGACGGAUAGCUGGUCUGAGAGGACGAUCAGCCACACUGGGACUGAGACACGGCCCAGACUCCUACGGGAGGCUGCAGCAGGGAAUAUUGUGCAAUGAGCGAAAGCUUGACACAGCGACACCGCGUGUGGGAUGACGGUUCUAGGAUUGUAAACCACUUUCAGGAGGGAAGAAAAUGACGGUACCUCCACAAGAAGACCCGGCCAACUAUGUGCCAGCAGCCGCGGUAAUACAUAGGGGUCAAGCGUUGUCCGGAUUUAUUGGGCGUAAAGAGCUCGUAGGCGGUUCAACAAGUCGGUCGUAAAAGUUUAGGGCUCAACCCUAAAAUGUCGAUCGAUACUGUUGUGACUAGGAUACGGUAGAGGUGAAUGGAAUUCCGAGUGUAGCGGUGAAAUGCGUAGAUAUUCGGAGGAACACCAAUUGCGAAGGCAGUUCACUGGACCGUGAUCGACGCUGAGGAGCGAAAGCUAGGGGAGCAAACAGGAUUAGAUACCCUGGUAGUCCUAGCUGUAAACGAUGGAUACUAGAUGUAGGAACUGGAUUGACGGUUUCUGUAUCGUAGCUAACGCGUUAAGUAUCCCGCCUGGGGAGUACGGUCGCAAGACUAAAACUCAAAGGAAUUGACGGGACCCCGCACAAGCGGCGGAGCAUGCGGCUUAAUUCGAUGAUACCCGUAGAACCUUACCUGGACUUGACAUAUAGGGAAAAACUGGAGAAAUCCAGUGUGCGUAAGCGCCCUAUACAGGUGGUGCAUGGCUGUCGUCAGCUCGUGUCGUGAGAUGUU
This 1060-nucleotide ribosomal RNA is filed under the name marine metagenome. RNAcentral's name for it is "bacterial SSU rRNA". It matches the Rfam family "Bacterial small subunit ribosomal RNA", at positions 8 to 1076 of the family's 1533-position model. The record is from RNAcentral.